CCUACGGGUGGCAGCAGUGAGGAAUAUUGGUCAAUGGACGAGAGUCUGAACCAGCCAAGUAGCGUGAAGGAUGACUGCCCUAUGGGUUGUAAACUUCUUUUAUAUGGGAAUAAAAUGUUCCACGUGUGGGAUUUUGUAUGUAACAUAUGAAUAAGGAUCGGCUAACUCCGUGCCAGCAGCCGCGGUAAUACGGAGGAUCCGAGCGUUUUCCGGAUUUAUUGGGUUUAAAGGGAGCGUAGGUGGAUUGUUAAGUCAGUUGUGAAAGUUUGCGGCUCAACCGUAAAAUUGCAGUUGAAACUGGCAGUCUUGAGUGCAGUAGAGGUGGGCGGAAUUCGUGGUGUAGCGGUGAAAUGCUUAGAUAUCACGAAGAACUCCGAUUGCGAAGGCAGUUCACUGGACUGCAACUGACACUGAGGCUCGAAAGUGUGGGUAUCAAACAGGAUUAGAUACCCGUGUAGUC
Molecule: ribosomal RNA, 460 nt
Filed under: uncultured bacterium
Lineage: Bacteria
Description: partial 16S ribosomal RNA
Rfam family: Bacterial small subunit ribosomal RNA
Source: RNAcentral